CUAGUCCUCAUAGGCACAUCAGAGCUCAUUCCUAGCUGUAACAACCAUGUCAAUCCAAAACAAAGAGCCAGUCUGCGUCACUGGAGCCAAUGGCUUCAUUGGAUCCUACCUGGUCCGGACCCUCAUAACCCAUGGCUACACCACCAUCCACGCCUCCAUCUACCCCUACUCCGAUGCUUCCCACCUCUUCCACCUCCUUCCUUCCGCUGCCUACUCUAACGUCCAACUUCGUAUCUUUGAGGCCGACGUUCUUGACUACGACGCCGUUGCCAAGGCCGUUGAGGGCUGUCGGGGGGUUUUCCACGUGGCCUCUCCCUGUACGCUAGAGGACCCUAAGGACCCGCAGAAGGAGCUUGUAUUGCCUGCGGUGCAGGGCACGAUUAAUGUGCUGCAGGCUGCCAAGAACUUCGGUGUGAGGCGCGUGGUGGUCACGUCGUCUAUUUCGGCGUUGGUUCCUAAUCCUAAUUGGCCGGCCGGUAAAGUGUUUGAUGAGUCGUCGUGGACUGACAUCGAUUACUGCAAGUCUCGUCAGAAGUGGUAUCCAGUGUCAAAGACACUGGCAGAGAAAGAAGCGUGGGACUUUGCAAAGAAGCAUGGAAUGAAUCUGGUGACAAUCCAUCCUGCUACAUGUCUAGGCCCACUUUUGCAGCCUAGUCUGAAUGCUAGCUGUGCUGUGUUGAAGCAAUUGUUGGAGGGAUCAGAAGACACUCAGGAAUAUCACUGGUUGGGAGCUGUGCAUGUCAAAGAUGUGGCUGAGUCACAAAUUUUGCUGUUUGAGACUCCUACUGCUUCUGGUAGAUAUCUCUGCACAAAUGGUAUUUAUCAAUUUGGUGAUUUUGCAGAGAGGGUUUCCAAGCUCUUCCCUGAGUUUCCUGUUCACAGGUUUGUUGGGGAAACUCAACCGGGCCUGACAACUUGCAAAGAUGCUGCCAAGAGAUUAAUUGAGAUGGGGCUAGUUUUCACUCCAGUUGAAGAUGCCAUCCAGGACACGGUGGAAAGUCUAAAGGCUAAAGGAUUCCUAAAGCACAAAAUGUCAACAUCAUAGUUUAUUUUGGGGCUGAAAUUUUUUUCACUAUUUCCUUAGUUGUUACUAGUAAUGAUAGAAAUGAGAAUGCUUUUCUUUAAUAAUUCAACAAACUCCCCUUUGAUUAUCCCUUUUCUCUUUUUAUUUUCCUAAAGUGACUUUCAAUUGUUAUUGUAUGUAACAGGAAAUAAUCCGUGUUUCCAUUUGAUCAUAUGGCUGUGUCAACUUUCUUAUAUUAAUACUACUAAAAGAUGCUCAUAUUCU
This 1288-nucleotide unclassified non-coding RNA is filed under the name Hevea brasiliensis (rubber tree). Lineage: Eukaryota; Viridiplantae; Streptophyta; Magnoliopsida; Malpighiales; Euphorbiaceae. The record is from RNAcentral.